This 652-nucleotide ribosomal RNA is filed under the name uncultured bacterium. RNAcentral describes it as "bacterial SSU rRNA". It matches the Rfam family "Bacterial small subunit ribosomal RNA", at positions 139 to 808 of the family's 1533-position model. The record is from RNAcentral.
GGGGAUAACAGUUAGAAAUGACUGCUAAUACCGCAUAAGCGCACAGGACCGCAUGGUUCGGUGUGAAAAACUGAGGUGGUAUAGGAUGGACCCGCGUCUGAUUAGCUUGUUGGUGGGGUAACGGCUCACCAAGGCGACGAUCAGUAGCCGGCCUGAGAGGGCGACCGGCCACAUUGGGACUGAGACACGGCCCAAACUCCUACGGGAGGCAGCAGUGGGGAAUAUUGCACAAUGGGGGAAACCCUGAUGCAGCGACGCCGCGUGAGUGAAGAAGUAUUUCGGUAUGUAAAGCUCUAUCAGCAGGGAAGAAAAUGACGGUACCUGACUAAGAAGCCCCGGCUAACUACGUGCCAGCAGCCGCGGUAAUACGUAGGGGGCAAGCGUUAUCCGGAUUUACUGGGUGUAAAGGGAGCGUAGGUGGCAUGGUAAGCCAGAAGUGAAAACCCAGGGCUCAACCCUGUGGAUUGCUUUUGGAACUAUCAAGCUAGAGUGCUGGAGGGGUAAGCGGAAUUCCUAGUGUAGCGGUGAAAUGCGUAGAUAUUAGGAGGAACACCGGUGGCGAAGGCGGCUUACUGGACAGAAACUGACACUGAGGCUCGAAAGCGUGGGGAGCAAACAGGAUUAGAUACCCUGGUAGUCCACGCCGUAAACG